Molecule: non-coding RNA, 1140 nt
Filed under: Pongo abelii (Sumatran orangutan)
Lineage: Eukaryota; Metazoa; Chordata; Mammalia; Primates; Hominidae
Source: RNAcentral
GAUGACAGUGUGCACCACCACACACAGCUAAUUUUUUUUUUUGGUAUUGCUGUGUUGCCCAGGCUGGUCUCAAACUCCUGGACUCGAGUGAUCUUCCCUUCUCAGCCUCUCAAAGUGCUGGAAUUACAGGCAUGAGCCACUGUGCCCAGCCAGAGAAAUAACCAUGGAUAUGGGUAGAGACAGAGCCAUAUGGAAUGCACACCGCAGUGGAGAACACAUGGCCCAGCUCUGCCAUCAAGGAAAAGGAACAUGAAUGGAGCUGGAGGCCAUCAUCCUUAGUAAACUAACACAGGAGCAGAAAACCAAAUACCACAUGUUCUCACUUGUAAGUGGGAGCUAAAUGAUGAGAACACAUGGACACAAAGAGGGGAACAACAGACACUGAAGCCUCCUUGAGGGAGGAGGGUAAGAGGAAGGAGAAGAUCAGAAAAGAUAACUACCAGGUACUAUGGUAGCUUAGUACCUGGGUGAUGAAAUAAUCUGUACACCCAACCCCCAUGACACAAGUUUACCUAUGUAACAAACCUGCACAUGUAUCCCUGAAACUAAAAGUUUUUUAAAAAGUUAUUUAAUAUAUAUAUAUAUAUAUUUUUUUUUUUUUUUUUUGAGAUGGAGUUUUGCUCUUGUUGCCCAGGCUGGAGUGCGGUGGUGCAAUCUCGGCUCACCACAACCUCCACCUCCCAGGUUCAAGCGAUUCCCCUGCCUCAGCCUCCCUAGUAGCUGGGAUUAUAGGCUUGUGCCACCACGCCCGGCUAAUUUUGUAUUUUUUUUAGUAGAGACGGGGUUUCUCCAUGUUGGUCAGGCUGGUCUCGAACUCCCGACCUCAGGUGAUCCACCCGCCUCGGCCUCCCAAAGUGCUAGGAUUACAGGCAUGAGCCACUGCACCCGGCAAAAAGUUAUUUAAUAUUAAUGGGACAAUACUCAUUGCAAGAAUCAAACUUCAAUUGCUAGCAUAAGUAAAUGACAGGCAGGAGAUAUUGAAAAUGCAAUCUUAUAGACAUUCAAGGAGAGGACGCAGGACAUUUCUGUGUCAUAAAUGUACUAUGGAAAAUAAAAAUGAGAAAAAUUGAAAUAAAAUACAAGAAAAGGUUAUGAUGAUAAAUUUCAUAUUAUUUUACCACAAUAAAAAAAAUUUUAAUU